This is a long non-coding RNA of Gigantopelta aegis, 1619 nucleotides long. RefSeq lists it as uncharacterized. NCBI's taxonomy places the organism in Eukaryota, Metazoa, Mollusca, Gastropoda, Neomphalida, Peltospiridae. The record is from RefSeq and is a predicted model, not a curated record. The transcript is spliced from 3 exons.
ACUGUCCAUAUUGUCACCUGAUGUAUUUCCAAGGACUGCUAGAGAACGUUUUGAACUAAACGACAGUCUAAAAGAGGCAGAACUCUCCAUGCUGUCACCCGAGGUGUACCCAAGGACUCCUACAGAUCGUUACUAGAAAACCUGCUUACCAAGGACUGGAAAGAGUGCUUGUGUAACAGAAUGCCAGAAUGUCCUUACUCUCUUAGGCCCGAAACACACCGAAACUGUGUCUGGUUCUGGGUCUGACGAUUUUGGCAAAUACGUAAUGUCUUAUGUAGUUUGACGUUUGCGUCUGUAACUGUAACGUGUUAUCAAUAUUUAUUAUACUAGUAUAACAUUUAGUGAAAUAUCUUAAAAUAUCAGUAAAAUAAAAGUGUUAUCAGUCACUCAGUGACGAUAACACAUUUUAGUGUGAACAUUUCACUGUAGAAACUGUAGAAAGUGUUAUCUUCACUGUAAGAAAGCCGGAACUAUUUUGCUGCAGACACUUUAAAAAUAAAGGUAAAUUGCCAUAAGUUAUAUAUUAAAUAGAAAAUUUCACGAUUUUUGUCAAAUAUGAUUUAUAUCUCAUCUCGUGAAGUGCGCAAUCAUAUCAGACUCAUUGUGCAAGCGCGACUCGUGAGAUAUGAUUACAAACUUAACUCGAGAUAUAAAUCACAUUUGACAAACACAUAAAAUACCCUCUAUAUAUUAAUGCGUUCAUAUAUUUAGAUAAAUUUACUUCUAUAAAGAUCAACAAUAAGUAUCAGAAAUCCACGUUAAUUAAUGUAUACCUUUCAUGUUGGUUAUUAAACAAAAUGAGUGAGUAAGGUUCGAACAUUGUGCAGCUGCCAGUCUGGCAAUGUGAAUUAUAGCGCAGGUUCUAUGUCGAACUGUUGCCAGAUUUGUAGUUCGCGCCAGUUUAUCACAUUCGAUUCAGUGAUUUUCAUUGUCGACUGGUACCAUACUCGCCAGAGUAUACUCGAUCGCCAGAUAUACCAUACCCAGACCAAGACCCGGAUUCUGUGUUUUGGGCCUUAGGAAAGAAGAACUGUGAACUAUGGUUCGAGAUCUAAUAUUCGUGGGUGUUAUAUAUUCGUGGGUGUUAUAUAUUCGUGGUGUAUAUUCGUGGGUGCUAUAGCCAAAAGGAAUUUAAGUAUUGUCCAAUUUGUUAGCAACAGUUUAUCUGGGAAAUGCCUCUUGUCGUCCAGUACAAAACGUUUAAACAUUAGGCCUACUAUUCUUGAGUUAAUUAUGGAAAGAUUAUGUGUAGUUUUAUUUGUAGUUAUUUAUUACAAAUAAAUGUGAAUAUAACUAGGUAUUGUAGUUUCAACUUUGACAUAGGACCUUUAAACUUAUUACAGUUUUUUUAUUAUUAUGUUUUGUCAGGGUGAGUAGGAACAAUCACUUGCACGUUUAGCCCCAGGAAUAUUCAACACCAGCUUGUACAUGUAUCAAAUUAAUUAAUAUGGGGAACAAAGGGCCGAACAUGUACCUGCAGACUAUACAUGAUUUGGCAACAUGAGAUGCUCCACACACACGCACGCACACACGCAUAUAUAUACACAUAUACUAGUAUAUACAUAUAUAUACAUAUGUGUAUGUGUAUGUGUAUGUGUAUAUGUAUAUGUAUAUGUAUA